This 1417-nucleotide ribosomal RNA is filed under the name Vibrio vulnificus. RNAcentral's name for it is "partial 23S ribosomal RNA". It matches the Rfam family "Bacterial large subunit ribosomal RNA", at positions 1550 to 2925 of the family's 2925-position model. The record is from RNAcentral. Lineage: Bacteria; Pseudomonadati; Pseudomonadota; Gammaproteobacteria; Vibrionales; Vibrionaceae.
UUAAGGCUGAGACACGACGUCGAGCUACUACGGUAGUGAAGUCAUUGAUGCCAUGCUUCCAGGAAAAGCCUCUAAGCUUCAGAUUGUAAGGAAUCGUACCCCAAACCGACACAGGUGGUCGGGUAGAGAAUACCAAGGCGCUUGAGAGAACUCGGGUGAAGGAACUAGGCAAAAUGGUACCGUAACUUCGGGAGAAGGUACGCUCUUGAUGGUGAAGUCCCUUGCGGAUGGAGCUGACGAGAGUCGCAGAUACCAGGUGGCUGCAACUGUUUAUUAAAAACACAGCACUGUGCAAAAUCGUAAGAUGACGUAUACGGUGUGACGCCUGCCCGGUGCCGGAAGGUUAAUUGAUGGGGUUAGCGUAAGCGAAGCUCUUGAUCGAAGCCCCGGUAAACGGCGGCCGUAACUAUAACGGUCCUAAGGUAGCGAAAUUCCUUGUCGGGUAAGUUCCGACCUGCACGAAUGGCGUAAUGAUGGCCACGCUGUCUCCACCCGAGACUCAGUGAAAUUGAAAUCGCUGUGAAGAUGCAGUGUACCCGCGGCUAGACGGAAAGACCCCGUGAACCUUUACUACAGCUUGGCACUGAACAUUGAACCUACAUGUGUAGGAUAGGUGGGAGGCUUUGAAGACGUGACGCCAGUUGCGUUGGAGCCGUCCUUGAAAUACCACCCUUGUAUGUUUGAUGUUCUAACGUUGGCCCCUAAUCGGGGUUGCGGACAGUGCCUGGUGGGUAGUUUGACUGGGGCGGUCUCCUCCCAAAGAGUAACGGAGGAGCACGAAGGUGGGCUAAUCACGGUUGGACAUCGUGAGGUUAGUGCAAUGGCAUAAGCCCGCUUAACUGCGAGAAUGACGGUUCGAGCAGGUGCGAAAGCAGGUCAUAGUGAUCCGGUGGUUCUGAAUGGAAGGGCCAUCGCUCAACGGAUAAAAGGUACUCCGGGGAUAACAGGCUGAUACCGCCCAAGAGUUCAUAUCGACGGCGGUGUUUGGCACCUCGAUGUCGGCUCAUCACAUCCUGGGGCUGAAGUCGGUCCCAAGGGUAUGGCUGUUCGCCAUUUAAAGUGGUACGCGAGCUGGGUUUAGAACGUCGUGAGACAGUUCGGUCCCUAUCUGCCGUGGGCGUUGGAAGAUUGAAGGGGGCUGCUCCUAGUACGAGAGGACCGGAGUGGACGAACCUCUGGUGUUCGGGUUGUGUCGCCAGACGCAUUGCCCGGUAGCUAAGUUCGGAAUCGAUAACCGCUGAAAGCAUCUAAGCGGGAAGCGAGCCCUGAGAUGAGUCUUCCCUGAUACUUUAAGUAUCCUGAAGGGUUGUUCGAGACUAGAACGUUGAUAGGCAGGGUGUGUAAGCGCUGUGAGGCGUUGAGCUAACCUGUACUAAUUGCCCGUGAGGCUUAACCAUACAACACCCAAAGGGUUUUG